UACGGAGGAUCCGAGCGUUAUCCGGAUUUAUUGGGUUUAAAGGGUGCGUAGGCGGCCUUUUAAGUCAGCGGUGAAAGUCUGUGGCUCAACCAUAGAAUUGCCGUUGAAACUGGGGGGCUUGAGUAUGUUUGAGGCAGGCGGAAUGCGUGGUGUAGCGGUGAAAUGCAUAGAUAUCACGCAGAACCCCGAUUGCGAAGGCAGCCUGCCGCAGCGUUACUGACGCUGAAGCUCGAAAGCGCGGGUAUCGAACAGG
Molecule: ribosomal RNA, 253 nt
Filed under: uncultured Parabacteroides sp.
Lineage: Bacteria; Pseudomonadati; Bacteroidota; Bacteroidia; Bacteroidales; Tannerellaceae
Description: partial 16S ribosomal RNA
Rfam family: Bacterial small subunit ribosomal RNA
Source: RNAcentral